AUCUAAGGUAAUCUUGUUGUUUAAGGCGUGAUGAAAAGGGUAGUUAUCAUUAAAAAUCAAUGUAAACAUAUUUUGCUAGAUGCCUCUUUUGCAUUAUAGAGAGGUUUUUGUCUGCUGGGUCCUCCCCCCUGCCCUGCGGCCCGGAGCACAUUUCUGGCUGAAGUGUGCCCUCUAGUGAGCCACUGGGGCGGGAUUCAGAUGGCAGAGCUUUCUCAUCAGCGGGUCAUACUUGAAGGCACCGGAAAAUAGUUUCAUUCUUUCAUUUCAAGGAGCUCCGCUUUCUGGUCUCUUGUCUCACUCAGGAGAUGGCAUUAAAGCACAAGUCCAUAGCAAGCAAUUGGUAAUUUAUGGCUGGAGUAUGCAUUGUAGUACAUAG
This 376-nucleotide long non-coding RNA is filed under the name Numida meleagris (helmeted guineafowl). RNAcentral describes it as "lncRNA (ENSNMEG00000020655.1)". Lineage: Eukaryota; Metazoa; Chordata; Aves; Galliformes; Numididae. The record is from RNAcentral.